This 828-nucleotide ribosomal RNA is filed under the name uncultured Bacteroidota bacterium. RNAcentral's name for it is "bacterial SSU rRNA". It matches the Rfam family "Bacterial small subunit ribosomal RNA", at positions 65 to 887 of the family's 1533-position model. Lineage: Bacteria; Pseudomonadati; Bacteroidota. The record is from RNAcentral.
GACGGUACAGGAAUUAGCUUGCUAAUUUGCUGACGAGUGGCGCAGUGGUGCGUAACGCGUAUACAAUCUACCUUUUGCUGAGGGAUAGCCCAGAGAAAUUUGGAUUAAUACCUCAUGGUAUUAUUGAUAGGCAUCUAUUAAUAAUUAAAGGUUACGGCAAAAGAUGAGUAUGCGUCCCAUUAGCUAGUUGGUGAAGUAACGGUUCACCAAGGCAACGAUGGGUAGGGGUCCUGAGAGGGAGAUCCCCCACACUGGUACUGAGACACGGACCAGACUCCUACGGGAGGCAGCAGUGAGGAAUAUUGGACAAUGGGCGAGAGCCUGAUCCAGCCAUGCCGCGUGCAGGAAGACUGCCCUAUGGGUUGUAAACUGCUUUUAUACAGGAAGAAUAAGCCUUACGUGUAAGGUGAUGACGGUACUGUAAGAAUAAGGACCGGCUAACUCCGUGCCAGCAGCCGCGGUAAUACGGAGGGUCCGAGCGUUAUCCGGAAUUAUUGGGUUUAAAGGGUCCGUAGGCGGAUGAUUAAGUCAGGGGUGAAAGUUUGCAGCUCAACUGUAAAAUUGCCUUUGAUACUGGUCAUCUUGAGUUGUAUUGAAGUAGGCGGAAUAUGUAGUGUAGCGGUGAAAUGCAUAGAUAUUACAUAGAACACCAAUUGCGAAGGCAGCUUACUAAGUACUAACUGACGCUGAUGGACGAAAGCGUGGGUAGCGAACAGGAUUAGAUACCCUGGUAGUCCACGCCGUAAACGAUGGAUACUAGCUGUUCGGGACCUUGAGUUCUGAGCGGCUAAGCGAAAGUGANUAGUAUCCCCACUGGGGAGUACGUUC